This 85-nucleotide transfer RNA is filed under the name Felis catus (domestic cat). It matches the Rfam family "tRNA". From Rfam's summary of the family: Transfer RNA (tRNA) molecules are approximately 80 nucleotides in length. The record is from Rfam by way of RNAcentral. Lineage: Eukaryota; Metazoa; Chordata; Mammalia; Carnivora; Felidae.
GCCUGGGUGGCUCAGUCGGCUGAGCGUCUGACUUGGGCUCAGGUGAUGAUCUCACGGGUCAUGGGUUCGAUCCCUGUUUCGGACU